AUGAAGCUGGAAUUGCUAGUAAUGGCAGGUCAGCAUACUGCCGUGAAUACGUUCCCGGGCCUUGUACACACCGCCCGUCACACCAUGAGAGUUGGGAAUACCCGAAGCCUGUGAGCUAACGUUAAGAGGCAGCAGUCGAAGGUAGAAUCAAUGAUUGGGGUGAAGUCGUAACAAGGUAAC
RNAcentral lists this ribosomal RNA (180 nucleotides) under uncultured bacterium. RNAcentral describes it as "partial 16S ribosomal RNA". It matches the Rfam family "Bacterial small subunit ribosomal RNA", at positions 1320 to 1500 of the family's 1533-position model. The record is from RNAcentral.